This is a long non-coding RNA of Hevea brasiliensis (rubber tree), 648 nucleotides long. RefSeq lists it as uncharacterized. The transcript is spliced from 2 exons. Lineage: Eukaryota; Viridiplantae; Streptophyta; Magnoliopsida; Malpighiales; Euphorbiaceae. The record is from RefSeq and is a predicted model, not a curated record.
CUCCGUAAGGGGUAAAAAAAUUGAUAAAAAUAUUGGAAAGUAAGUUGAGUAAGGCAAUUGAGAUCAUUAUGGAGCAUUCUGGAGUGAAACUUUCAUGCCCAAGCCAUGAAAGAGGAGUCAAUUCACGCCUUGGGACAUAAAACUUGUGGCAACUUGAAGAAAAAUGAAGAAAAAUGCAUGAAAUGGUGGCAUAUGAGGAUUCACACCUAGGGCAUGAAAAUUACCAUCACGCAUGCUCAGGGGUGAGAAAUUGAUAAGGCAGACUUUCUCCCCUAACAAACCUAACAUGUGGAUUGGAGGAAAGGAGAUAUCAGAACCAUUUUUGGAUGAUUCGAAAAACUCUGCACACCAAAUUUCUCCCAAAAACACGCAAACACUUUCUAGAUUUCUAUCUUGGAAAUGGAAGUAGAUUCAAGCCUUUUGGGUAGAUUUCUAGACACUUUGGCUCUUGGAGGGGGAUUAUACACAUCAUCUAUUAUAGGGUUACAGGAGAAUUUAUUCUUGUGUUUAACCUGCUUCCUACCUCGCAGGUCUACUAGCUAUUGUUUCCGUUUUUUGUAUUGUUAAAUUUAAAUUCUAGAUCUCUACAUGUGUAAAACUAUUUUACUUAGCUUGAGAUUAUAAGAUUAAUUAUUUUGAAAUUGUAAA